UCUUCAUUGGUCUAGUGGUCAUGAUUUCCGCUUGUCAAGAGAAAUUUCGUCGAGCGCGGGAGACCAGGGUUCGAUUCCCUGAUGGAGAG
Molecule: transfer RNA, 89 nt
Filed under: Aureobasidium subglaciale EXF-2481
Lineage: Eukaryota; Fungi; Ascomycota; Dothideomycetes; Dothideales; Saccotheciaceae
Rfam family: tRNA
About the family: Transfer RNA (tRNA) molecules are approximately 80 nucleotides in length.
Source: Rfam by way of RNAcentral